Numida meleagris (helmeted guineafowl) is the source of this 18544-nucleotide long non-coding RNA. RefSeq lists it as uncharacterized. NCBI's taxonomy places the organism in Eukaryota, Metazoa, Chordata, Aves, Galliformes, Numididae. The record is from RefSeq and is a predicted model, not a curated record. The transcript is spliced from 2 exons.
UAGAAGGCCUCUGCUUAACAGAAGAAAUGAGGGUAGGGCUUAAUCCCUUGCUGGCAACCAUCUCAAUGACAGAAUGUGGUAAUUGGCAGUGCAUUCUCUUCUUUAAUCCAAAAAUCAGCGAGAUAAUAUAUCAGAACUAUGUUUUGAGAGUCUACCUGAGUGAUGAGUUGCAAAACAGAAGCAAGCACCUGUCCUACACAUCCUCUUGCUGACAGUCAAGAGAUGAGCACUCGCGUUGCUGUAACGAUUCUCCUCUUGGGGUCACAGAAAGGGAUGGAUGACUGUGGUCCUGCUGGCAAAUGGCACGUUUUCCCUGCUCAAAUGCCAGUUUUAGGUGGAGUCUUUCUGAUUUCACUAGAUCAUUACCUCUAUAGGCCCCAAAAGAGGCAGGGUUGUUGUUUGUUUGUUUACUUUUCAAGUCACCUCUCAGUUCUUAUUGAAGAGCAGUCCAUUAUUGUAAAUGAUUACGUUAACCUCUCUUGCCUGGAGGUCCUUCUCCCCACCUUAAUACCUCCCUCUGGCCAAGAAUUCCUGUCUUGCAGUGCAGGUGAGGGGCAUGGACUUCUCACUUCUAUUGAAAGGAAGGAGGUUAGCUAUUUCCAAAGACCAAGUCAACCUUUAAAUGUGCAAAUACUUUUUUUAUUAAUCUCUCCUCCUUCCAGUAGUUUUCCCUCCCAUCCAGCUAUCAGAGUACACAGGCACCAUUGCUUCAUGGAGAGCACUGGAUUUUCUGCAUGUCAGUUCAGCCUGAGUACAGUUUUACAGUUUUAAUCUUUUUCAGGUAUCGGGCCAUCCUUCUUCAGGCUAUUGUAAGACAACCUCCUUUUGCUGAGGGAUUUCCUCUGAAAAAGGAUCAGGUUUUUGGCAUCUAACACAUCCCCCACCCUCCUUUCUCUUUCCACAGUCUUUCUAUCGUAGCUCGGAUCUGCACAGCAAGUUUCUGCCAGCAGGACUGCAGCCAGAACUAUAAUGAGACACGUUAGGGUGGGGUGCAGGGAUGUCACAGUUGUCCGCUACCUUGCCUUAAUGAGCCAUGCUUGCAAACAGGCUGUUUUGUAAUAUAAUCUCAAUGAGUGAAUGCAUUCCUUUCAUAAGCAUAGCUUUAGAUAGUGGGAUGUACUGGUAAAGAGAAACUUGGUUUGCUAGGAACCUUUCAUUAAUGCUGGUCCUCAUAUGUUCACAUGUAUGGGUGUGCAAUGGUAGCAUGCUCUUUCUUCAUUCACUCCACCCAUCUCCACUCACUGAGAAUCUUGUGCAGAGUGGGGAAAUGCAAGCUCAGUGAGCCUUUGUUUGCUCUAUUGGAUAUACAUUUGUAAAAGAGAGAUGGAGAGAGAUUCUGUUGCCUUCUUCUGGCUGAAGAGAUAUCAUCUAUUACCUGGCACCACUAUCUAUCUUAAUGCUGUUUUAUGCACAUUUUGUGCCCAAGGUUAAUAUUGGCAAUGUAUGCAGGACAGUGGAGAACUUGGUUGUUGUUUCAGGAGUUUAAUGCCCGCCCAUCUUUACCAGCAUUGACAUGUUGCUGCAUCUUGCAACACUGCCACUCACCUUUCUUUCCAAGGGUGUUUUUUGUUUUUCUAGUUUUUUUGGCAAGUAGUCCUAUAAAAGUGAGCAUGACAGAGACAUUUCUCACUUGCUUUUUAGAUAUUGGUACAUAAUUAGCCUCUAUGCAUCAGUCUCUAAACGUUGCUCACAUGCAUUGGCAUGGGGAAAAAGUGUGACAAGGCAAAACAAAAUCAAAUGGCUGAAAGCACAGUGAAUUCAGACCAGAAGGCAUAGUGUAAGAAUAGCUGGACAGAGGGAUACUUUGCUGUUGGCAUGAUUUUCCCAGGCUGAAAAGGAGAGAAAUUUUUUUUCUACUGUGGAAAAUUGUCAUGAUAAGGCUGGGUAACAACUGGAGGAUGACACAGCCAUUAUGGUUUGCUCUUUCUAAUGUUAACCUCUAACAAUCUAUAAAUAAUGUGUAGGUUUCCACAUUCUGCAGUUUAUCAGCAGGAUGUUUUGUCACUUGCUUUAUGAUCCUAGAUCGCUGCUUUGGUUUAAACAGCAGUGAACAUAUCCCAGCCUAGGGCCUGAGAGGUGUCUGGGGUCUUGGGCUCAGCUGGAACACAUGCAAUGCUGUCCUCUCAGCUGCGACAACUGGCUGACACUGCAAAACAUGCAGGAACCCUAAAAACAAAAGAGGCAGAAUGGGAAGGAAGGAGACUCAUGGCUAGGCAAGCGGCCAGCUUUUCUGCUUUUUCCUCUGAGCCUCCACUUCUGGAAGUCUCUGCUUGCAAUGUCCUUACUACCAACUGAUGCGUUAGCUGUUCAUUUAUGGGGAAUUAUAACUAAAGGGAACUGAAGCGGUAUCUGAAAUUCACUUCCGCUUGGGCCACAGAAAGGCUGUCUGAAUUCCUUCCCCUUUUGGCUGCUCAUGCUGCUCUUUUGAAAGAGCACCAUUAUAGCGUUAUAACACUGCUGUAUUUACAGUGUUGCUUUACAGCUACAGCUUUCUCAAGCAGUGAGCUUUUGCCUAUCUUUACUGAUGUGAAGAGUAUGUGAUGAUGGCAGGUAAGCUGGGGUUUCUGUGCAGGCAGGCUUUUAGUAUGAUUAUAUUACUAGUGGAGUGAGUUUUCCAUAUGUAUGAGAACAAAAAAAUGUUCCUCACUCCGUCAGCCUAGUUGGUUCUGCCGUGAAGACCAGCUGAGAGGGAAGCCAGCAAAAAAAUGUACCUAACAAGAAAAUAUGUUUUUCUAAUGAACAGUUGUGACAAACUUGAUAGAUACUUCUGGCCGUAAACAUUUCUAGCAUUUAAGAAUAUUUAAAUUUCAGAUCUGUAUUAGGAGAUCCUGUCACUUGCACCUAUUGCUUCUGAUAAGGACAGGAGGUUAAAAAGAAACAGACCAGCAGAAAUGGAGUGUGUCCGUGUGGGGCUUAGCAGUUGGUUGCAAUAGAGGUUGUGCUGCUGCUCUUUCCUAGACCAAAAUAAACCAAUGGCGAUUCUGUUGAGGUCACUUAGUAGUUAAAAGCAUGUCAUUUGGGGCUUUAGACAAGUGCAAAGUUUUAAUGAUGUGAAAAGCAUCUCAGAACAGCAAUGAGCAUAGGCUAUCCCCAAACUGGGCAAUUGGUAGGAAAUAAGUAGAUAAAUCAUCAGGUCUUUGAUCUUAGUCUCAAGAAAAAAAGUGUGCAGAAACAGGGCUAGAUAUCUGAGGACAAAAUCACAAAGGCUAAGCAGCAAAAUGAGAUCCAAUUAACAAGAGACUUUAAAGUAACAAGUAGUGUUUUUAUCACUAUAGCAGCAAGAGGACAAUCCAGGCGCCCCUCUGCAGUGGAAAAGACAGUCUACGGACAGAUGUUGGCUAGAAUCCCAGGGCGUUUCAUACAUUUACUUGCUUUUUUUUUUUUUUCUUUCACUUCAGAUAACUAUUGCAAUCAAUGUCAAUGACAGAAGGGGGAUGAGAUCACAAAAAGUAGAGCAGAGAAUGAGUUAGAAAAUCUUUCUGUGUGUUAGUGUCCAAGUCAGUUGGGCCAGAUGAAUUUCAGUCUGGGGUAAUUGCACCAGCCAAUUAUUUAACCUCUAGUCCUAGCUGUAACCUAGCCUAGCUUCUGGAAUGUUACAGACCCCCAAGAACACGCUGGGAAGCCUGGAAAAGUGCAGGCGUAGUUCCUGCCUUUAAAAGGAAAAAAAGGAGGAGCCAGGCUUUGCAGAUUGUUCAGUUUAACUUCAAUUCCCGGAAAAAUACUGGAACAAACAAUCAAACUUUUGUAAGCACGUAGAAGAAAACAAAGAGAUGAAUAAUGCCCAAUGUAUAGUUGUCAAAAACAAAUAUCUGUGUAAAAUGGAUCAAACUACCUUUCAUGUCAGAGUAAAAAAACCUUGUUGAUAAGAGAGAAGCAAUAGUUGUCCUCUAUUUUGACUGUGGGGAGGCUUUCGUCACAGUGUAAUGUGAUACUCGUAAGCAAAUAAAGGGAACCUGUGCUAGAUGGGGCUGGCCUAGGGUGAUGCAACAUUAAUUGGAAAACCACACACAGAGAAUAGUUAUUAACAGUCCUUUAGAAAGGGAAAGGCGGACCAAGAAGAGCUGUUUGAGAGUCUGUACUGGGUCAGCAUGAAUUAAGGUGAUUACGAACAGCUUGGACAACAGAAUAGGGAAUAUCAUAUUCUUGUCUACCGCAGAAUUGGAAGGGAACUAUAGAUAUACUGAAAUAUAAAACUACAGUUAAAAACUAGUUAGACAAAUGGUCUCCAAAGUAGGAACCAUUUCAGUAAAGGAGGUUGUAAGUUUCUGUACAUGGGCAUUGCUGGGAAUAAUUAAUUUUGUUUAUAGAGAGUAGUUAAAUAUUUUCCCAAGUAGCAACUGUACAUAAAAAUAUCUGAGAGAUGUUUCAGAUCACAAUUCAAAUGUGAGUUAAUUGCUAAUGCGAAAAGGGCAAAUGCCUGCUGAGGAUGUGUAAAUAGGCAUGGACCCUAUAAGUAAGCUUUUAGCUCAGUUCUCCGUGGGGCCAUAGUUCAGUUAUGGGUGCUGUGUUCAAGACAAGGUUCAGAGGAUGGCAAUGGGAAUAAUCAGAGUUCUUGAAAACAAGACCUAGGAGGAAAGAAUGAUCGAAGAGGUGGUAUUUAGUCUAGUGAAAACUGAAGGAGAUGGGGCUCCUUCUGUUGAUUACGUGAAAGGUGGCUGGGAAAAGGAGAAUAUGUUGUUUUCCAUGCCCCUGACGGAUAGGACAAAUAGUGAGCUUAAAUUAUAGCAAAGGUUAGAUGUUAGAAGAAAGAAAACAUUAAGGAUAAUGAUGCCCAGGAGUAUCUGAGGAGGCUGUGGACUUGCUGUCCUCUGUUUAGGAUGAGGUUAGACAAGCAUUUGUCAAGAGUGUUUUAAGUAUAAUGAUCCUGUCUUGGGAUAUGAGUCUGGACUAAAUGAUCUUCUGAGAUCCCUUCCAGCCAUAUAAAUCUCAGAUUCUAUCCUGACUGCUGAAGAAUGUCAGUAUUACAAGUGCUCCGCAUUUGUGGUUUGUGAUGCUUUCUUUCAUGAGUAAGAGCCAAGUCUUGCAGGAGCGAGACGUGCUGCUUGCGAGUUUGCAGGAAAAUGGUUUUGGUGGCAGGUAAUGCCAUCAAAGAAUGAGACCUCCUUGGAUUAUGAGGAUAUUGUGCUGCAAGGUUUCUCUUGCAUUUAAAUGUCUCUGAAGCUAACCAGAGUGAUGAUGCAUGACACUAGCCUUGAAAGCACUGAUCAGUAUAAAACAUCCUUCCUGUUGUGCCUGCGUGCUAAUUGCAGCCAAGGAGAGCUGGCCUCCCUGAUCUACAGAAUACAAGAGCGCUCGCCUCCGUUUUGGUGGGAACCAGAGUCCUGUUCAGCCUGCAGCGCUGGCACUAGUGACGCAGGCUGGCACUAGCAGCACUAAAGCUGCCACAGGCUCCAUCAGACGCUGGGGAAUAGAAAUGCGAGCAAUUGUUUUUUGGUCUGGAGUCCCCACAGGGCAUUAGGGACAGAGUUUGCUAUGGAUUAUUUUCUGCAAGCACGUAGAGGAGUUUGCGUUUCUCUAAGAAUUCAAAGGGUGAUAAGUGGAAAGGGGUAGGAGAAAGACAGAAAUACACUUUUUUUUUUUCAGUUUCCAAAGAUGGCUUUUACAAACAUCACUAUAUAAAUAGAGGGGGGGAAAAAAAAAAAAAGGAGGCUCGUAUUAAAGAGGUGACUAACCCAAUGUCCCUUGGAAAAAAACCCAGCAGAGAGCAAACACUGAAGUCCUUUAACUCCGUGUCAUAAUUUAUAGCAGGUUUGCAAUUGUGAAAUCUCUCAGCGACGUGGGACAGAUGUUAUGGUGAGGAAAAUAAAACAAACAGACAGCGGGAUGGGAAAUGCAGAGAAGAUGAAAUGACACCGUGUUGUAAUCCUUAUGGGAAAUCUCUAUACAGCUUUCCAAAAUACUGUACUGGUGAGCAAUUAGGAAACUAGACAAGCUAUAUAAACAGAGCCACUAGAGGUCUGUGACUGUUCCCAUGCAGUUUCCUCAGCGAGCAGGAGCCUCAAGGCAACUUUGGGGAGGGGAAAAUUUCUGCCCACCAUCUUCUCAAUGGUCCCUUUAAUAUUCUGUCCAGAGCUAUUUGCGUAAGAAAUGCACACUAGUGGAGGUUUUCCAGUGCUUGCUCCUGUUCCUAUGGCAGUAGAUCAAAGGCAGUAACAAUACAGAGUUAAUUAAUUCAGGAGAAGGAAUUCCCACUUGCAGUGGUCUCAACCCAGCAGUGGAGGGAAGGUGUCAAUCAUAAGGGCAAAGGUGCUGAAACUGGCAUGGAUUUGUGGUUGUUUUUUUCCCCUCACUAAGGAGGGGAGUUAAAUGGUAAAUGUCACCUGAGCUGCAGAAAAAACUUCAGGAAAGAGUUUUAUAUAAUACCAAGAGCUUAUGGGUGAGUAGGAGCCAUCCAGCUUCAGGAAACCUGAAUGAAAACUGGGCCUGCAGUUUUCUAAAAGGAAAUGUCUUCGAGGGAAGUGUAUUUCCCCAUCCAGGUCAAGUUUAUAGAACAUCCUGCUCACCUCUGCUCAGGGCUCCUAUUCCCACAUUAAAGACCAGCAGCAUCUCAAGGGCAGCAAAACUGGUGAAAGGAAGCUAUGGGGAGGAGCUCAUCUCCUGGUUCUGCAGCCUUCCAGUUCUGUGCAGUUUGCAGGAGCAAAUGGAUCAAAAUGACUGGGAAGAACCUCAGUCAUUCAGUAGUACCCAGAGGAGUGUGGGCAAAACCCUUGUACAGGGAUAACUGCUGAACAGAAAGCAAAGCCUUUCUGGAGGCAAAGCAUGGGGCUAGCCACUGGCACACCUGGGAUUUCUAGAAUGCCUUGAAGGCGAGAGGGGAAGAAGAGGAGAAAGUUUGCUGAUUUUUCUUGGGCUAGAAGUUACCCUACUAGUAAUCUGAUUCGUACUUAAAAAGAGAACUCUUAAAGAGAACAAUGGCAAAUGAAAAUGUGGGAAGAGUGACUAUUUGCCUGUCAAAAAUGUGUUGUCCCUUAGUGGGAAUGGAACAGGAGAAAGGACCACACAUGAAAGAAAAUAAUAUGCUAUUCUACUGAUUUUAAAUGAAUUUAUUUAUUCAGUUAACGGCUUCACAAAUACAUUUUUUUUCUCAAAUUAAGUGUCAGAUACACUGUUUCAGUCAUAUCAGGAGUAAGGCUCCUGUUGACUUUUCCUUAAACAACCACAAUAUUAAAGUUGAAGUCAGUUUAAGAAUCUGUCACCCUUUUCCCUUUCUGGCCUUGCUUUCCGUUUCAUAUGCGGCUCACCUAACUUGAUCUUAAUUUAUUUCUCAGUGUGGGGGAAGAGACCGACAGGAUCCUUCAGGGGAUUUCUGCAAGCAUGCUGUCAACCACCAGCACUGAGCAAACAGAGCUCUGCCAACAGCUGAUUUUGUAAAAACUGUGUUAAACCCUGGGUCCAGUACAUAGUUUGGUGUGAGGUGCAAAAGGUCUGAAUCUGUCUUAUUGAAACUACAAUGAAGACUUCUCUUCCCUUGGGCAGAACAGGGACACAGGUCUCAUAUCUGACUGUUGCAGGCUGAUGAUUUGUCUACCACUCUGUAAAGCAGGUACUAAUUGCAAAAAUCAGAUAAACGGGACUUAGAUCGGAUGACCUUAUCUGCUUGCAGGCACUUUAGUUGUAUUUGCAGAAAUCCACUGCAAAAAUUGAUUUAGAAGUUGUUUCCUACCUGUUUUAUCUUUGAACUCCAGCUUACACCAUCCCAACAUCACAAAACCUUCAGGCUUGAACAUACCAGAGGGGAUCUUUACGUUACCGCAUCUGACAGCCAAUUUUGCCAGUUUUAACUGGAAUCACGCGUGCACUUCCCAGCACCACACGUGGCAAAUGCUCUUACCUACACAGAGAUCUCUGUGUGUCCGUUCAUUUAGACACAUCAACUGUGCCCACAUCAGGGUUCAUGCCAAAGCAUGUGCGUGUGCAUGUGGUUUCUCAUCAUACAUAUUUUCACAGAAAUGAGGAUGUUAAGGGAGAAUGGACCUUUUCAUUUCUAGGAAGGACCUGAACCAUCAUAUUGUAUAUCGCUCUGGAAAAAGGAAGUACUGCAGUUUGGGAGAAAGUUUAGGGGCUCUGAAGAGGAUGGCCUCUUCAUGUUGGCGUAAUUCAAUUUCUCUGCUUACGGGAAGUUGCCCCGUUAGACAGCUUGAAGCGUGGCCAAGGACAGGUUGUAUAAGGCCUAACUGUACUCCCUUAUGAAACUCAGUAGCAAACCCCUUGACACCUUCAGCCUUGUAUUUUGGAUUUAUCACGUAUCACACAUUGUUGUGUUUCCUCAGGAGUUACAUUUUUCAUGGUCUUUUGCAAGAGUUCAAUGCCUUUGCUAGGGCACUGCAAGAACUUUCUUAUUCUGGGCUGAUGACAAGAGCUGUACUGGAUCAGACCAAGAACCGGUCGGUCUGGUGUUCCAUAAAGCAUUUCCUUGGGCUGCAGUGGUGGCAGAUGACUCGUGCGAAGCCCAGCUCAUACCAAAGCCAGCCUGUUGCACAGAGCCAGUGUGUGCGAGAGAGCAGCUUGUGAGCUGCCAUCAGGUGGGACCCACGUGCUGGGGUACGUGCAAUGGAGUACAUCUCAGCCCCCAAGGCACUUCCUGAAGGAGGUGGGGUGAUGCUUGCUGGUGACCUUGCUUCUGAGAUGGGAGAUCUUAAAUUUAAUGAUUUACAAAGUAUUAUUUUUGUUAUAACUAAUAGAUUCUUUUGGCACCCACACCCUUCGUCACUGCACUUUGGAUGUUAUUGGAGUUUGCCACUUCUGUUCUAGGGAAGAGUCUGUGGGCUAUUUGCUUCGCAGAAUGGAGUUUAGAGCCAAAGCAUGUACUGUAACCUGAGCCUCAAAGGUUUUCCAUGUUAUUAAGUAAGCAAGUUGGAGCCUGCCCCUCACUCCUUUUUUGAGGAUGACUAAAGCACUGAAAAUGCAACAUAUGCACACUGCCUAUAAACUGGCUUCAUAAAAACAUACCUGCAAUAGUGUAACUUUUAUGUUAGUGUCACGUGUGAGAAGAAUGUGUGAAGACUGGGAAAGUAUGCACAGUCUCAUCCUAGCGCUGUGUCUAAUGAUACUUAGAUAUGACACAUACCACUGCAGUGCGCAAGCUUCUGACUUUCUGGGCCAGCCUUGAAGAAGGAGGCUGAAGAGCAUUUGUCUCCUGUGUGCCAUUUGUCUUGUCAGCAGUGUGCUAAAAACAAACCUCUGUAUGCUUGCAGUGACGGCUGGAGUUGGCCCAGUCCCUCUGUGAGUGUGAUUAAGGCAUCCAACUUUUUGUGGUCUCUGAUAAGGUGGAAAUGUUUGUUAUGGAUGGCUCCGAUUUUUCUCCGGGGCAUUGUUGGGAAGGGCAGACUGGGACCUACACUGUGAACUUCCAUAACCUAAAAUUUCUGAAAUUAUUCUGUUUUAACUUAAAUUUGAUUUGUCUGGGGUGGAGAAGAAUCUCAAUUUAUUUUUAAUAAAAUUUCCAGGAAGUUUUUUUUUUUUUAAUUAACCAGUAAUAUAAUGACAGUAGUCUGAGACAGAAUUUCAACUUAGAAUACUUUUUCUUGAAAUCAGUGCUUUUUGUCUACUGUUCCCAUCCUCCUUUGCAACUCCAGAUAACGAGAGGCUGUACGUUCCUGAAGGCUGUUCUAAAACAAUCAGCCGGCAGUAGGGCCAACUUCUUACCUCAGCUGCAGUAACGAAUCCCUUUGAACAACGAGCAUAACACAGUAGGUAUGUGAGCAAUGCUCAGCCAUGCAUUGUGCGCCAGAUACUGGGCGGGCUGUGAAGCGGGCAGGUCUCCAAAGCUGGAACAGCAUUCCUGAUACGACUUUCCCAUGCCCGUCUCAAGAACUGUUACAAGAGGUGACAAUCGGGUGCCUGAGUGGAGCUUUUGCUCCCUCCUUCCCUUUGCUGUGCUCCUGAUAUCUCUCACGAGGGAAGUGAUAGGGGAGUACCGGGUCAUCUCAGUGCUUCUGUGAAUUCCCCUUUUCUUGACUGAUCCUCCUUCAUCUUGCUGUGCUGACUGCAAGAUCCCAGAGCACUGGGGUUGUGGCUGCAUGGGCAGAAUAAAGGCACAAGACAGAGUGGCCACAAAGCAAAAGCACAUUCUAUUGCUUGGACGUUUUGUUUCGCAAGGCCAAUGAGACAAACUGAAUCAUACUGUUUCCUCCCACACAGAAACCCCCUUCUGAUAUAGUUAUGUCUUGCAUACCUAAUAGCUUAGAUCAGCAUAAGACAACUUCUCUGCAAAGCUGAGGAAAGCCAUGCAUCCCAAGUGCUAGAGAAUGGUCAGAUGUCACCCUGUUCAGCUUCAUCUCCAUACUUACACCUUGGAUACUGACGCUGUCAUGGUGAAAAGUGCCAGAGGAAAAUGGUUUGAUGCCAAAAAAGUGCAGGGUGGCCGCUGGACUGCCAGCCUGAGCAGCAGGAUGGGAGCAACCUGUGCCCAGCAGCGCUCGUGCCUGGGGAUUGGGCUCUGGCAGGUGCACAUGCAGGGGAAAGGUAGGUGUGCUGCAAACUGUGGCUCUGGGUGCAGCUUUCUGUGAUCAGAGCUGUGUCUACAGGAAUACCUGGGGUGACGCAUUUGCUACAUUUCUAAGCACAAAGCUCUCCCAUACUAAGAUUUAUAUUUAAAAAAAAAAAAGAGGAGGAGAAACAAGCAUGUGGCAUGUGUCCCUGAGCUAGGAACCAUGAAGAGCCAUGCACAGCCAGGAAACGUGCCAUGCUGGCUGAGAGGAACCUGGGAGGGCUCCCUGCUUUCAAGUCCUCUAUCAACAGAUCAGAUGCUUGAAGAUUGCACCUCUCCCCAAACCCUCAUCUUCUUCUGCGGAAUAAUAAGCAAAUAGGUUUGAGCCCAUUGCCUGCAGGGAAAUGGUUUUGUAAUGGAAGGAGCACCCUGCACUAAAUCAACAAACAGGAGAAUGUCUGUGUUUGUUUUUCCAUGUGCUGGAGGUGAAGGUUGCAACCACGUGGGGGUUUCUCUCACAUCCUCUCCACUUGACAUGGGGCAGGGACAGGCACAGACACACACAAGGCUGUAUGGGAGUGUGUAAGUGGGAUCACAGACGCACUGAGCCAGCCUGGGCAGUGUCCUGGUGCUGUGCCAUUGCUUCUCCCCUGAGCCCCCACUUGUGCAGCCACACAGCGGUGCAUGGGGGAGUGCAGCUGGGCUACAGCUGACCGACAGAGACAAAAAGGAAGCUUUUUAUUUUUAACCCAUCUCAGUUCCCUGCUCUAGUUAACUCUGAGACCACACCAGUGCCUGCACUGGGAGCAAUACCAGCUCCUGCAGGUGGCACUGCCUAUGUGAGUGCUCGUGGCCCUCUGGCCCACGGCAAGGCAUGGCCUGCAGUACCUCAUUUACAUGCACUUACUUAGGUACUCAUGCACUUUCAUUAACACAGCUCAUUUCAAAUAGGGUGGGUAGGUUUGUUUAUUGGCUCUAAGUACUGAGCUACCGGUAUACUUUUUGUUCACGGUACGUUGGCACUGCUUUGUUGGCAUUGCUGAGGAGUGUGCCUUGCACAGGCACAAGCUCAGAGCUAAUUUGGAAAAAGAUGGUUAUCUGGGCAGGCAGAGGAUUGUUCUCCUCCCUCUGUUGCGUCCCAAAGACAGUACAUUAUUGGGAAGCUUUUCAUAUGCUUAGUGCACGGGGUAAGGACAGGAACGAGUUUAUGAUUGAAUCUUGACUUAAGCAGAUGUAUCUGCCUGGCCCAAGUAUUCCCAGCAUUUGAAUCAAUGGAUCAAAACCAGGCCUAUGGCACAAAGGAGUGCUCUAAGAGAGUAUAUGCUACAGAUGGCCCUCUCCAGACCUACUCCUGAUGCACAGUUAUAGAUGCCCAUGUGUUUUUCAUGUGUAUUUCCCAACAGCCCUCCUCAUUCCAAACAGGUAAAAAGAUGAUAGGUGUAAAUGCGUGCAUCUGUAUGUCAGAACAGGCACUCCUGUGCAUUUACAAGUAUGUGCAGACACAUGCAGAUAUGACUGUGCCCAUGCAGGUCCGCAUUACUUGUCACGUUUACACGCCUAUCCUGCCAUACAACCAACAUAUGCACGAGUUUGCUAUAAGAAGCCAAUUUUCUUUGCCUCCUGAAUUGCCAAAUGCUGGAACCCGCAGGCUAGCUGUUGUGGUUCCCUGAUUCCCAGGUUUCUUCUGCAGCCAGCUAAUAAGCAGCACUGCAAGAUUCCUAACAACAGGGAUGAACUUUUGUGUAAAUCACCUUCUAGGCAUUAGACUUUUCCCAGCAAAAGAGUGGGGCGGCUGUUUAGAGGAGGGAGAGUUGUUCCCUUUGAUGUGGGGAUUAGUUCACAUGUCAAUGUUAUCCCCUUUUUUUUAAAUAUGCUGUGAUUUACAGGGAGGGUGGCUGUGGGAGAUAGCCAAGGGGACACCCACGUGGGGCCGGCUGACAGACACCACCUCCCAGAAGAUACCUACAACUAAGGCAGCUGGCAUCGACAGAAAGGCUGCAAUUAUAACAACAACAGCAAAAAAUCUUAAAAAAUGACCUGCUUUGCCUAACAAAUCCUAUCUAAAACUUAGGAUGCACUUUAUGGAGCUGGAAAUGAGUUUCCCAGCAGCAGAAGGGGAGUCUCUUGCACAUCCAUAAUAAAGACAUUUAUAAAUGCAUUUUCUUUAAAAAAAAAAAAAAAAUUUGGUCUGUACUUCCCCAUUAGAGCAUACACCAGGAGCGAGAAUGAGUGUGGCUCCAAAAGCGAUUAUGCUCACUUGAAACAUACUUAGCAUCGUGACUGCUCUAGUUGGAGUCUCCACACUGUUCUGCAUGAAUCUUUUAUCAGCGCUUUAUGAAAACUUCACGUUUUGGUCAAAAGUUACGUAGUUGUUCUGCGAUCCAAUCUUUUGUCUAUUAGUGUUAGAGGAAGCUUUCCCGAUGCUGUUCAUGGGAACUGGAUAAGGCCGUGAGUCAUUACGCUGGGAGCUGUGUUCAGAGCAGCUUUGCUUAGCGUAUCUGCAUUGUUUAGGCUUAUUGCUUUUGUGCAGGCUGAGGCGCUGGCAAAGAAGACAGUGAUGCAUAAAUACAGUAAGAAAAGUUUUAGCUAGCUGUAUUUAAAGGGUCUGCUGCAUUUUGUUUCAAAAAAGUUCUAUUUCCUUCUGCCCUUUUCAACUUCUAAUACAUUUAUAUGCACAUUUCUUUUUCAUUGAAACUUUGAGACAUUCUAGUGAAGUAGCCCCUCUUUGUCUGUUUAAGAGAAACACAAAGCAGGAGGUUAAUUUCCAGCCAGGCCAGCAUCGGCGUCCCUCCCUGCACGGCUGUGCUGGUGCUGGGGGGACGAGAGCGUGGUGGCCCAGACUUCAGAGCUGUUGUAAGACUCUGCCCUACGCAAUCACUUUUCCUGUGUUGUUUAAGCUGCAGAGGUGACGCAGGGUCUUCCUCGGGUGUUUCCCACCGACUUCUCUCCUAUCCAGAUCCCCACAGCCCACGCUGCUCCACACACCGGCCCCUCCUGGCAUGUCAAUGGCAGCACAGCCGCUGCAUGGACACCGCACCGCGAUGGACAGACAAAAGCCACUUCACCGCUGUGACGCUCCUAGAGGCCUCCCGCAACCCCCCUGCUAUUCUCUCAGGAAUAAAGAGGUUUUUGUGCCACCCCCCAGGAGGGCAGGGCUGCUGCUGCCAACCGGAGCGUGACGCGCGGUGGGACGCACCCCACACAGGCUGCGGUGAUGUGGCCACGUUCAAGUGCGGGUAUCCAAAGAGACAGAGGCAUGCAGGGUUUCUGCUCUCCUUCAGAGGCGGCCCACUGAGGUAAAAAAAUCCAUAACAUUUUCUGCUUGUUUAUUCAAACUGCCAAACUAUUUGACUCGAUGGAUAUCAAGCAGUACCUUGCAGACGCCGCUUUGUGGAAGGAAAGACCAUUUGGUGGUUGCUAGGCUCCCCCAUUUCACCAUUUCCCAGAAAUGGAAAAGCCUCUCCCCCUGGUGUCCUGCCCUUCCUCUGGCACAGAUCACCCACACGUGCUUUCUAUGAACGUGUUGCCAUCGGUGUGCUCAGGCUGCAGUCUGGUCUCAUAGGAAGUCUGAACCUCUCCUGAAGGGUUACAUGCGCUUCUUGAAACAAGCAGACAGUACUGCCUGGUUAAACCCCAGCACUUAUGCAUGCAUUCUGGUAACAGUUUUCAGUGAGAAAAGUCAUUCUGGAGCUAUCCAGGUACACUCUUGUCUGUGAGCAGGGGGAUUUCUCAAGUCUCCCAUUUGUUCUGAGUUGGAAAUGUCCAACUUAAGGAAACUAUGUUAACAGCUGCAUGUACUGAAGAGUGAGUUAGACACUUUUCAGUAGUCAAAUUUGAGUGUAGAUCCCGAGACCAGAACUCAGAUGUUAUGAUUUGGGAGGUUUACAGUUAAAAAUUAAACAAUGUCAAUAAAAUAAAAAGCAACGAUCAGGCAGUCGGCCAGUCCUACAGAACAGGCUUAUGCUUUUGAAUGCACGAGAAAAGCAGAGAAUUUUAAAAAAUACUGCAGAUUUUAUUUAUCUAUGGUUUGGUUUUGGAAGCUGUGUUGGUAAUGAUGGAACUUACAGCAGAACAACCUAAGCAGUCUAUAACGUAAAACUUUGCCAUCUUUUCAUUUCACAUCACCAAAAUGCACGCACAGGGUACAGUUCAUGACCAGCCUGCCCCCUCCCUCCAAAAGGAGAACUGAAGCUGAAGCCAAACGCUCUGUUGAUUGUCCGGCGGGUUGGCCAUGUGAGCCCCAGAUGAACACUGGGCCUGCGAGCCAGCCACAAUGUCUGUCUUUGCAAACCUGAACCGCAGCCCAUGGGUCACUGCUGGCACAUGAGUGAAACGCUACCUGGAGGCGUCAGGUGGAGAAGAACGCUCAGAGAGAUACCUGCACUCCUUCACUUUAUGGCAACAGUAAGGAAAUGGCUGUCGUUGCCUGUAUAUCCAAAACAGCUUUUGAACAUUUCCGCUUUUUGUCCAUAUUUAAUAAAAAAAUCGCUUCCAUUUGAGUUUCUCCAAAAGCAUGCAUCUCCUCUGGGCCUCCCAGGCAGGAGGGGUGAGAAAGAUCUGUUGUUGUCCUCCCAGGUUGUGAGUACAGGCACCGAGCACCUGCAGUGCCAUCUAGACAUUGAGACUGGAAGCUCCAGGGAAAGGACUUGGAGAGCUCAGGGACUCUGGAAAUGCUGCAGCUCAACAGCCACCUUCUUUGCACCCUGCACCGUGCAAAGCCUCCCCGGGACCUGAUUAGGAAAACUCCGCAGGGGAUUCAUGGGAAGGGGCUGAGGUCAGGAGGGAGCAUUAAACCUUUGCACGGAACGUCUCAUGUGACUGAGCGGGUGGGCUGGUGGCCAUGCUCUCCAUUGGCAAGCAGCGGCUUGCGGAGACCUCGGGGUUAUUAGAUGGGAUUGUGGGAGAAUGCCAGCAAUGUGUGCGGAGCUGGGGGAUGAAAGGCAAGCCCGACUCAAUGAAUGAAUGAAGAAAUAUGCAUGCAAUUUGUGAAUGACUUUUCUCCCUUUGCUGAACCUGUGCACGAGUUUCUGCAGUGCUUGGUGAACGUCUGAGAGCAGUGUUUCGCUGCUGGGGAGGUCCCACCACCCCCUGGCUCUGUAUACCCAGCCACAGGGGAGGCUGUGGUGGCCCAGGUGAGGAGCCACCAGUGACACAAAGCAGCCACCACAUCCCAAGCACGGCAGCUGUUGCUGCUGGUGGCCAAACCACAGGCCACGGUGACCUGUGGCGUUUGAGGGGAAAGCUACAAGGAAGGCAUCCUGGAGCUAUCAGCACGUGCCAGCCAGCAGGCAGAGCUCACGGGGGCUGUACCCGUCACCUCCGUCAUGCUCAGGGCUCUCCAACCUGGCAAGAAGCUGCCCGAGAUGGCUGCGGGCGCGCAUGCUGGCAGUGCCUGAAGGGAGCAAUCCGCUCCCACAGCACGGGAGUUUGGAUAGCUGGAGUAGGGCAUUUGCCACUCAGAGACCAUGUCUCUGCAGCUCCCAGCUUGGCACGAUGGAGCCAUCUUUAUUAUCCUUCAGGGCUAUGGCUGCAAACAAAAAAUGCUUUCAUUUCAGUUUGGCGGUUGCUCAGGUUGUGUGUGCUCUGGCUGCUUCCUUAAUUACAGCGGCUGUUGACAGCUUCUCCUGAUAGAGACCCUCUCUUUGACCAGUCCCCACUCCCCCACUGAUUUUUGCAGUCGGGACACACAGCAAACUGGGACGAUGGUCUGUAAAAAUGAGCUCACUGUAAUGCAGCGGCUCCCAUGCCACAGCUACGCUGUGUUCCUCUCUUCUGUUCUCUCUGUCUGUACUGGUGCUAUUUCCUCUUUCUGGCUGUAAGACGUUUUAUUUAUGAGCGCUAGGUUUCCUGUUGCCUGCAGCUGCCUGUACUUUCCCCCCUCCAGCUUGCAGGGCUGUUCCAUUCAGCCCUCACCUCCGUUAUCCCCCUCACUGAGGUGCUCCCACCCAGCUCGAGCGAUGGUUGCCUUCCUAACACCUGACAGAGAGGAGACUGCUUGCAAACCCAAGCCGAGCCCAAAUCCAACGCAGGGAGAUGACACGCGGUGCUUCCCGGGGCGGCAGCAGCUCCCCUCUUGGCUCACACAUGGGGGAGGAAGGCAGCACUUGGGGCUGUGGCCGGUCUGCGGGGCUGCCACUCCCAGGGGUAUGGUUUGCCACAGAUUUUUUCACAUUGCGGACCACGUAGUGGUAAAAAUGAUGUGCGGACUUUCCACACGUGAGGUUCUUGUAUGACUCCCUUGAACUUUGUGGACAUUCAGCAUCCUCGUAGUAAACACAAAGAUUGCAUAUACGGAAAGUGAGGUCACAAAGGAAACAAAAUGUUUUACUGCUUUGAACGUGAUUUCUCAGCUGGAAGGACGGAGGAGGCAUGAGCUCUUUAAGUGCUGUUUAUUACCGGCAAGGCAUACUGGGAAAGCUCACUAGGAUGCACUGGGGAGGAGUGCUGGAUGUCAAUUCCGAUCUGUGGCAGGGAAUAGGGUUGAAGCAAUAUUCCCUCGCUCACAGUUAACAUACGAGGGGCUGCCCUAUUUUCAUCCCUUUUUCUAUCAUCUGUUUGCUGGGAGCUCAGGGCCUGAAAGCUGAGCAAGGUAGGUGCAGGCUCACAGGAGCCCGCAGGCAGGACGCAGUGUGCAGGGCUUUGCUGCGAUGCUGCUGCAGCCCAUUGGGGCACGGUUCCGCCAGCUGUGGCCGUGGCACACUGCAGCUGGAGCACCCUCCGACACUUUUCCCUUUGUGUCAGAGCUCUGAGAGCUGCCUGGAAACAUUAAAUGGGGAGCAGUCCUCUGACAUCCUCUAGGUAAGAUGGAAAUAGGAGAUCCUGACCAUGCGAGUUAUGAAAGCUCCCAGUGUGCUACCUGCAAGCCAGUGCUUUAACCCCAGCAUCCUGGCCAAAUUCCAGCUCUGCUAAUUACAUCCUGCCUAUGUGAAAAUUCCCCUGCGUUUGUACACAGCCCUUCUUCCCCGCUUGCUCUCAGCAGCUGGGCGGUGUUGCCAGGCGCAGCAAAGCGCUUGCCAUGUCUCAGCCCGGGCCUGGCCGCCUUUCAGAGGGAAUGAAGAGAGUGCUGUGCAAAGCAUCUGCGGGGACUCUGGGUCCUUGGCAGGGAUGGCUGCCGCAGCACUGCGGCUCACCAUGGCACGAACAGGGCAAAGGCCCUGUGAGGGGCUGCGGGGCUGGGCCACGGGGAAGGCAGCGGUGGCUGACGGGCUCCCAACCGGUUUUGCUCCCUUUUUCCUUCUCUUUCACUCAGUGACUCAUGUGGACACUGCUUUUGGCUCAUCCCUGUUGGAACUACUCUUCUCAGCUGUCCAUUAAUCGCCCUGAUAAAAACCUGACUCAUGCCACCGGAGAGGAACUGGCUGGGAUUAUCCCUCUCUUCAGAAGAGGGGCCAGAGAAUGGCUGCAGCAAUAGCUGUGGGAUUCUGAUAAGAAGUGUGACUCACAAAGAGAAGAAUAAUGAACUCAUAGGUAUUUAUACAGGAGAGUGGCUCACUGGCUCAUCUAUCCAAUGUUCUUGUCAGUCAAGAUCUCUCUCUGACUGUGAAAAUUUUACCACAGCCCUGCCUAAAUCCAUUAUGGGAGCACAAGCUGCAGGCUACUUGCGCCGAGGCACCGACUCCGCUGCCACAGCAGAGGUGGGAUGUGCUCAGAGCAGAGCAGUGCCUUGCUUUUCCUUUUCCCUGCUCACAUCCCACUCUGAUCUUUUCAGCAUCUUAAUCUCAUGGGAGAUGCUGUGAGAGGUCUCCGUGUUCCAAGGGGGAAAAAACAAGGUUAUGUCCAGGUGUGAUGCCAGCAUGUUCUCACUAUAUCCCAGAAAGUACAGCAAGUACAGCAAGACUUGAAAAUGCAGGGAUCUGUGCUGGUCUUGGUGUAAGAUAGAAAGCUGGGACUCAAAGACCUGAGUCCUCCUGCCACCCUGCCUGUGUGAUUUCAGGCAAGGCACUUACAACUUUUCUAGACUCACUAUCCCUGUCUUUAAACUGUAUUUAGUCCUUACUUCACAGAGCUGAGAAGAAGGGGAUUAAGCUUUAAUUCAUUAAUGUCUGUAACACAUUUUAGAACUUGGAUGGAAAUUUCCCAGGUUUUGCAGAGAGCAUUAAACAGCUUAUCUCCCUA